CCUACGGGAGGCAGCAGUGGGGAAUAUUGCACAAUGGGGGAAACCCUGAUGCAGCGACGCCGCGUGAGUGAAGAAGUAUUUCGGUACGUAAAGCUCUAUCAGCAGGGAAGAAAAUGACGGUACCUGACUAAGAAGCCCCGGCUAACUACGUGCCAGCAGCCGCGGUAAUACGUAGGGGGCAAGCGUUAUCCGGAUUUACGGGGUGUAAAGGGAGCGUAGACGGCAGCGCAAGUCUGGAGUGAAAUCCCAUGGCUUAACGAUGGAACUGCUUUGGAAACUGUGCAGCUAGAGUGCAGGAGAGGUAAGCGGAAUUCCUAGUGUAGCGGUGAAAUGCGUAGAUAUUAGGAGGAACACCAGUGGCGAAGGCGGCUUACUGGACUGUAACUGACGUUGAGGCUCGAAAGCGUGGGGAGCAAACAGGAUUAGAUACCCCAGUAGUC
Molecule: ribosomal RNA, 440 nt
Filed under: uncultured bacterium
Lineage: Bacteria
Description: partial 16S ribosomal RNA
Rfam family: Bacterial small subunit ribosomal RNA
Source: RNAcentral